GUGCCAGCCGCCGCGGUAAUACGGAGGGUGCAAGCGUUAUCCGGAAUCACUGGGUUUAAAGGGUGCGUAGGCGGCCUGGUAAGUCAGGGGUGAAAGUUUGCCGCUCAACGGUAAAAUUGCCUUUGAUACUGUCAGGCUUGAAUAGGCGCGAGGCAGGCGGAAUGUGACAUGUAGCGGUGAAAUGCAUAGAUAUGUCAUAGAACACCAAUUGCGAAGGCAGCUUGCCAGAGCCUUAUUGACGCUGAGGCACGAAAGCGUGGGGAGCGAACAGGAUUAGAUACCCUGGUAGUCCACGCCCUAAACGAUGCUUACUCGACGUGCGGUUUUCGGAUUGUGCGUCCAAGCGAAAGCGCUAAGUAAGCCACCUGGGGAGUACGCCGGCAACGGUGAAACUUAAAUGAAUUGGCGGGG
RNAcentral lists this ribosomal RNA (411 nucleotides) under uncultured prokaryote. RNAcentral describes it as "bacterial SSU rRNA". It matches the Rfam family "Bacterial small subunit ribosomal RNA", at positions 505 to 918 of the family's 1533-position model. The record is from RNAcentral.